GAUGAACGCUAGCGGCAGGCCUAACACAUGCAAGUCGAGGGGCAGCGGGGAGUAGCAAUACUUUGCCGGCGACCGGCGCACGGGUGCGUAACGCGUAUGUGACCUACCUAUAACAGGGGGAUAACCCAGAGAAAUUUGGACUAAUACCCCAUAUUAUUAUUGAGCUGCAUGGUUUGAUAAUGAAAGACGCGAGUUGGUUAUAGAUGGGCAUGCGUGACAUUAGCUAGUUGGUAAGGUAACGGCUUACCAAGGCGACGAUGUCUAGGGGAACUGAGAGGUUAAUCCCCCACACUGGUAUUGAGACACGGACCAGACUCCUACGGGAGGCAGCAGUGAGGAAUAUUGGUCAAAUGGUCGGAAGACUGAACCAGCCAUGCCGCGUGAAGGAAGAAUGUCCUAUGGAUUGUAAAACUUCUUUUGUAAGGGAGCAAAUAAGUUCCAUGCGUGGGAUGAUGAGAGUACCUUACGAAUAAGCAUCGGCU
RNAcentral lists this ribosomal RNA (482 nucleotides) under uncultured bacterium. Its description in RNAcentral is "bacterial SSU rRNA". It matches the Rfam family "Bacterial small subunit ribosomal RNA", at positions 28 to 498 of the family's 1533-position model. The record is from RNAcentral.